CGCGUGUGCGGCGCAUCUGAUGGCCAACACAUCCAUCGUCAUUGCCUGCCCUCCUUGAUGCGACGGUGCAGCCUCGCCUCUUUCUCCCUUCUCCUACGAUGCCUCCUCCCCGUCGGCUCCAUCUCUGGAGGCGUAGGUCACUGCCUCACGUGCGUGCCGUCUCUUGCAAACCCCUCCCCUCCCCCCUCGACCGGCGACGGUGCCGACCCUGACGAGGAGCCCAUCCCGCCCCUCCUCCAGGAACUAGCAGAUAGUUUGGUGCUCCCGCAAGCAAUUUGGGCUUCUAUCUUGAUGUAAGCAAAUAUCCCCUUCUCGGCUUCGAUUCAAACUCACCUGGUGGCUAAGAUUAUUUGGGUUGUCAGCAGUUAAUAACCACUAUUACCUUUAACAAUAGCAGUAAAGGAAAACCUAAAUGGUUAAUGUAGACACUUGUGUAUGUGGCUUUGCUUCAAACAGAAUAAGGCAAGCAGCAUUGUUAUGACCCCAAAAGGAUAGUUAACUAAUGUGUGAUAUAAAUAAUUUACCUUUGGAUGAUAUGCAGAGAGGGCCACUCUUAAAUAUACGUGGUUAUGAGGUAAUUCGUUGCUAUGUGAUGCAUCGUUUGGUCCUGCUCUAGUGUUGUUUUGCCUUCUUUUGCUCGGCUCAUGUUGCGUUUGGCUUAGAGACUACUGAAAUGGAAAUGUGUUGGAGCGAUUAUGUGUUGCAGGUAAAGAAACAAAUUUUCAUUUCUGUUGGCUUACUAUUAAUUGUCACUUGCGUACACAUGAUUAGGUUGGUCACGGAUUUGUGCAGCUAGCUUGCAUUGCUAAUAUUAUGUACUGCUCUAGAAAUAGAUCAAGUGAUACUUUGUUCAUCUAAUGAUCUUUUGUUAUUUCCUUUUGAAUGCUUAGCCAUGCUGUGUCUCACUCGUGUGAAACUCAAGAUUUGAUAUUAGCACAUAACUCAUGAUUUGACAAACAAUUAAAUUCCUAUAUUUUAGUAUAUCUUGUUAUCUUUCUUAUUUCUGUUCCUGAACUGAACUUCACCCUUUUCUACAAAAUUAUAAGAGCAAUGCUGGUUUGGACAAAUGAUUAUGAUUGCUUAUUUAUUUUCUUGGUGUUAGAUUACUAAUGAAGAGAAAUAUAAUUAUAUGAUUUUACCAUUAUUAUCAGAUGAGGAAGUGAUAGGUUCGGAAAAUGACAAUAUUUACCUAUCUCUCAUCUCUACUGUAUUCAUGUAAGUGCCCAUGUCUUUUUCCAUUAUUACCAGUUGAUAUGUUCUUCAUUGCACACAAAUCAUUCUUACUAUACUAUCAGAUAUUAUUAGCACAUGCUCUUUUGAGGGAAAUGGGGAUGGCACUAUCUUUCGGUCUUCUGCCCAGAAAUCUUUAGAGUACAUUAUCUUUCGUCUUCCUAAUUAUAAAUUGUUGGAAUUUCGUAUGAUUUCAGUAAUGCAACUUUAUUGUUUUACUGUUGUCUUUUGAGGGAAAUGGGGAUGGCACUAUCUUUUGGUCUUCCUAAUUAGAUAUAAGCAACUGCAUACCCACACCAUAUAUCUUCGGUUUGCUCCCUCGCUACAGCGUCACUCUGUUCCAUACACUAAGAAACGUGAAGUCUGCCGGUUGCUACUCGCGCUGCUGCUCUGCUUGGAGGCGUCGCCGUCGACUAGAGGAGCGCCGAAUCAUCGUCCUCGAGUUCGUGCGCUUCAGGAAAAAGAUGGCCCGAGGUGAGACGCCACGCAUCCGCCGUGCAAAGGUAGAGCUUGACAAAUAGGUCAGUGUGUGUGUGCAACAGCUCUAGAGAGACCAAUGUCGAGGUACCCACUGCUCCUGAUGAUGAUAGCCUGCCAUAGUAAAUGAUGCCCAGAGGUGGAGGAAUUUGGAUGAUCUGUAGUCAAAGGAUACCAUCAAGCGAGAGGACGCACAAGGAGGGUCGCCCAGGAGUAGAGGUAGUGGACGUUGCCAGUUGCAUCUCUCUCUGACCUGAAGCCCACCUUGGCAUGGAUGUGACCAGUGUUGAUCCCCAACAUUGGCAAUCAUUUGUGUUCAAGUUGAUCUGGAACAAUUUGAAGGGUUUCCUCGACACAAAAUCUUCAGCCAAGGUUUACUUAAGCACCUCCAAUUAUGUAUAGAAGUUUAAAAUUGUAAUUGUUUCAGGUUCUUCGCCACAUUAUGUAUGCUUUGUUAUUUUUUUAAUAAUUGGACCUAUCUGCUAUGUGGAACAUGUAG
Long non-coding RNA from Triticum dicoccoides, 2206 nucleotides. RefSeq lists it as uncharacterized. The record is from RefSeq and is a predicted model, not a curated record. Lineage: Eukaryota; Viridiplantae; Streptophyta; Magnoliopsida; Poales; Poaceae. The transcript is spliced from 5 exons.